UUGAGCCAAAAAAAAAAAAAAAAACAAAAAAAAAAACAAAAAAACAAAAAAACUUUGUUUCUUCUGAAAAAUAAAAAAGGCGCCAUUGAUAAAAGAAUCAUCUUCUUUGCAUUCACCGAAACUUGUCUCAGUUUAUUUACCGCUGCUGGCUUUCUCCAACGGACACUGCAUAAGCUACUGCUCGGCACUCUGCGAAGUUAAUGAGUAAAACGGCGCGUUUUGGUAUCUUGGAGUAAGACCACGAACCAUUUGGCAUCCUUUUAUAUUUUUCCAGUCUUCUUUCAUCGCUUUCUCUUCAAUUUUUUUUUUUUUUUGCUGGGAAUUAUUGUUUUCUUUUUUUUGAAUAAAAAAAAGUUUCUUCUAGUAUUUCUCUUCUAUUUCUGUUAACCCAUUGGCAAAAAGGCCUCGUCUUUGAAAGACUUUCAAUGGUGGAACUGGUUUUGUUUCACCUUUUAUGUUGAAAUCGUUGGAAAAAGAGAAAUUGGGCAUUAAUGGGUAUUUGCCCAUGUUCCAUAAUCUCGUCAUUUAAAUGGGUUUUGCUCCGGAACUCUAUGUUUUUCCAUGAAAGACGUCUUUUUUGUUCGUUUGUAAAUUCUGCACUCUUAAAUGACCAUUAUGUGUUUGAUGAAAGUCCGCAUUCAGUUGAAGUUAAUGUAGUUGAUCACUUUGAGGUUCCUAGAAAAGAAUCUAGUAUCCUAAGAAAUCAUGAGCAGCGCCCUUUUGUUGUUAGAAGCCAAUCUUCGGUCGAAGUUAAUGUAACUGAUAAAGGUAAUGUUCCUAUUAGUCAGAUAAGUAUAAGGAGAAAGUUCAAACUCUAUGCCAUUGUGGUCAAAGUGAUCAAAUCUCUGAGUUGGAGUUCUGCGAACAAAAUAAAGUUCUCUAAGGCUGUGAAACAUUAUGAAGUUUCCCAUUGUCUAGAUGCAUUUCAAAUUAUUGUUCAUCUGUUUGCAUGGGCGGGAAUGAGGGUAGAGGUGUAUCAUAUGCUAAGAGAUUUGGUUUGCUAUUGGAGAUAUGCAAACUAUGAUGCAUCUGAACUGUUCCUAAAGUUAUUGGAUUCACCUCAUAAUGUAGCAAGAUUAAUUGUUGUAUUUGAUAUGCUCAUAAAGGUUUUCGCCGCAAAUUCAAUGAUUGAGAGUGCCGUCAAUGUGUUUGUGCGGGCUAAGAAAGUUGGUCUUCAGCUAGACAUUAAAUCUUGUAACUUCUUGCUCAAGUGUUUAAUAGAAGCUAACAAAAUAGAGUGUGCUAGCACUUUAUUUCAUGAUUUAAAGUGCUCUGGUCCAUCACCAAAUAUUUACUCCUACACAAUUAUGAUGAACUUUUACUGUAAAAGACAUCAUGGGCGGAAAGUAUAUAUUGAGCAAGCUACUGAAAUUCUAGAAGAAAUAGAGAAGAAUGGGGAAAGUCCAACUGCCGUCACGCAUGGUACCUAUAUUUCUGGACUCUGUAAAUAUGGUUAUAUUGAGUUCGCUUGGAAAUUCAUCCAGAAAUUAAAAUGUAAAAACGAGCCUCAUAAUGCUCAUUGUUACAAUUUUAUAAUUCAGGCGUUUUGCCAAAGAGGUGAUGUGCUUGAAGCUUCAAAGAUUUUCAAAGAAAUGAAGUUAUGUGGGAUAUUGCCAGAUGUUUAUAGCUAUAGCAUUUUGAUUGAUGGUUUUUGCAAGAAGGGAGAUAUUAAGAAAGGUCUGAAUUUGAUUGAGGAAAUGGGUCAUCAUCAAAUAAAACCAUCAAUGGUUACUUACAGCUCACUCUUUUAUGGUCUUUGUAGAAGUGAACUGGUGGAUAUCUCACAAGAUAUGUUCCAUAAUCUGGUGAAUUACGGCUAUAAGUAUCUCAGACUUUUGGAGGAGAUGGUGGGUAACAAUUUAACUCCUAUUGCCACUGAUUUCGGCAUCCUGAUCCAUGGUUUCUGCAAGUUAGGCCUCUUUGAUAGGGCUUUGGAAGUCUUCAAAAUCAUGCUCCAAUGUGGUGUGUUACCUGAUACUUUCACUUGCAAUUUCAUUGUGGAUGGGCUUUGCAAGGAAGGACACUUGGAUGAAGUCUUGGAACUGAUGCAUGAAAUGCAAGAUCAAGGCAUAAUCCUUAACUCAUACACCUAUAAUGCUGUCAUUAGCAGGCUGUGCAGAGAAGGAAAACCUGAAAAGGCAUUGGAGCUUUUUCCUCUGAUGUUUAAGAGGAAUGUAUUUCCAGAAGUUGUAAUUUAUAGUACUCUGAUGGAAGGUUUUGCAAGACAGUCAAAUUAUAAGAAGGCAUUGAGGUUGUACAAAAGAAUGCUAAAAUUUGGUGUCACACCUGAUACAGUUGCAUAUACAAUUCUUAUUAAUAUAUACUGCCAUAGAAGCAAAAUGCGUAAAGCUUGUCUCUUAUUUAAGGAAAUGACUGACAAUCAUUUGGUUUCUGAUGAGAAAUCUUACACAUCUAUAAUUGCGGGAUUUUGUAGAACUGGAGACAUGAAGAAGGCUCGUGCAAUGUACGGUGAAAUGUUGAGAAAAGGUCAUCGACCCACUGCUGUAACGUAUACCUGUUUAAUCGAUGGAUAUUGCAAGGUUUCUCGCAUGGAUAUUGCUAACUUGCUGUUUGAAGAGAUGCAGAAAAAUGAUGUUGCUCCUGAUGUGGUGACUUACAAUGCUCUCAUGUCUGGCUAUCAAAGACAGGGAAAUAUUAAAGUAGCACGUGAAUUAUUUGGUGAAAUGGAGGCGAAGGGUGUUCUUCCAAAUGAUAUUUCCCUUAGAAUAACAGGGCUUAGCACUUGAUUGCUUACCGAAGAUUAGAAAGCUGAGGGAAUUUUGAUGCAAAGAUUGCUAGAUGUCUCUUGUCUGUCAAUGUCUCCACAUCCAUUGCCUCUGUGCCCUCAGGAAUAGGCUGUUUAUUCUGCUGGAGGAAUUUCUUUACCACUUUUUCUAGUAGCUUAUCCUUCUGGUGUGAUUGAGACACUAAUAUCCAAGCAUAGCAAUCAAACUUUUCCUUCACUAAGGAUAGUUGACCAUCUAGCAAACUAAUCGAUUUAUCUCCUGGAGAUUCAAUGCCCACGACUUAAGCUUUGUCAAGAUAAACAGCUUCAUUUUGAGGGUCAUACCUCGAAAUGCAGGUGGUAGUAAUAGUAUUAGUAGUAAUAGUAGAUCUUUCCCGAAUGGAGUCAAAGCCAUCCUUUCCACUUCUUUCCUUGAUCUCACAAAUUUCCAUUUUUAAAUCUUUAUAAAAGAGGCAGUACAGUGGGCAUGGUUUGAGUUUGAUGAUGUAGUGGCCAAGUUUAUAGAGGAGGUCCAUGAAACAGCCGCUGCCGCAAUGAUAUUGUGCCAAGUGAAAAAUGUUUCCAUCAAUGGCAUCUUCGAUAUGAAACGGUGCUUCCCUUAGUUUUUUCAGCCAUGCUUUAACACCAUCACUAGUAAUAUUGUCUCCUUCGGCUUCUGUCUUCUGGCAACGGUGGAUGCACUCCAUAACCAAACCUUCAGAAUGAAUGUUUCUCAGCAAGUUUGCUUAUUGGACCAAUAAUGGGAGUGAGGUGUUCAAUAACAAAGCCUACUGCUGUAUCCGCCAUUAUUUUAAUCUCUGAUCUUUCUUAAUCAAGAGUUUUCAGGGUUCACCUGCCAUAUACAGAUGGUGAUCUAAUUAUGCUUGAUGUGCAACUGUGUCUUGUUGACAACUGAAAAAAAUUAUCUAAUUUUCGUAUGGAUAAAGCAUGCUAGAACAGCUAAUACAAGACAGUAUUUUACUGAGAAGCUUGAUCCAUUUUAGUUUAAGUAUUCUUUUUCUUUUUAUUUAUUUUAUUAGAUUAAAGUAUUCUUAAUCACAUGUAU
This is an RNA transcript of Ziziphus jujuba (common jujube), 3791 nucleotides long. It is a transcript of the gene named pentatricopeptide repeat-containing protein At1g05670, mitochondrial, with no coding region annotated. The transcript is spliced from 2 exons. Lineage: Eukaryota; Viridiplantae; Streptophyta; Magnoliopsida; Rosales; Rhamnaceae. The record is from RefSeq and is a predicted model, not a curated record.